GAUGAACGCUAGCGGCAGGCCUAAUACAUGCAAGUCGAACGAGAUUACGUGGCUUGCUUCUUCUAUAAGUGGCGCACGGGUGCGUAACGCGUAUGCAACCUACCUUUAUCAGGGGCCUAGCUCGCAGAAAUUCGUAUUAAGACCGCAUAAAUACACAGUAUAGCAUUAUGCAAUUUUCAAAUAUUUAUAGGAUUAAGAUGGGCAUGCGUGUUAUUAGCUCGUUGGCGGGGUAACUGCCCACCAAGGCGACGAUGACUAGGGGAUCUGAGAGGAUGACCCCCCAAAAUGGUAAUGAGACACGGACCAGACUACUACGGGAGGCAGGAGUAAGGAAUAAUGGUCAAUGGAGGGAACUCUGAACCAGCCAUGCCGCGUGCAGGAAGACAGCCCUCUGGGUCGUAAACUGCUUUUAUUCGGGAAGAAACCUUUCUACGUGUAGGAAGCUGAAGGUACCGAAGGAAUAAGGAUCGGCUAACUCCGUG
RNAcentral lists this ribosomal RNA (482 nucleotides) under uncultured bacterium. RNAcentral's name for it is "partial 16S ribosomal RNA". It matches the Rfam family "Bacterial small subunit ribosomal RNA", at positions 28 to 507 of the family's 1533-position model. The record is from RNAcentral.